Molecule: ribosomal RNA, 1397 nt
Filed under: uncultured bacterium
Lineage: Bacteria
Description: bacterial SSU rRNA
Rfam family: Bacterial small subunit ribosomal RNA
Source: RNAcentral
AGAGUUUGAUCCUGGCUCAGGAUGAACGCUAGCUACAGGCUUAACACAUGCAAGUCGAGGGGCAGCAUGAACUUAGCUUGCUAAGUUUGAUGGCGACCGGCGCACGGGUGAGUAACACGUAUCCAACCUGCCGAUGACUCGGGGAUAGCCUUUCGAAAGAAAGAUUAAUACCCGAUGGCAUAGUUCUUCCGCAUGGUAGAACUAUUAAAGAAUUUCGGUCAUCGAUGGGGAUGCGUUCCAUUAGGUUGUUGGCGGGGUAACGGCCCACCAAGCCUUCGAUGGAUAGGGGUUCUGAGAGGAAGGUCCCCCACAUUGGAACUGAGACACGGUCCAAACUCCUACGGGAGGCAGCAGUGAGGAAUAUUGGUCAAUGGACGAGAGUCUGAACCAGCCAAGUAGCGUGAAGGAUGACUGCCCUAUGGGUUGUAAACUUCUUUUAUACGGGAAUAAAGUGAGGCACGUGUGCCUUUUUGUAUGUACCGUAUGAAUAAGGAUCGGCUAACUCCGUGCCAGCAGCCGCGGUAAUACGGAGGAUCCGAGCGUUAUCCGGAUUUAUUGGGUUUAAAGGGAGCGUAGGCGGACGCUUAAGUCAGUUGUGAAAGUUUGCGGCUCAACCGUAAAAUUGCAGUUGAUACUGGGUGUCUUGAGUACAGUAGAGGCAGGCGGAAUUCGUGGUGUAGCGGUGAAAUGCUUAGAUAUCACGAAGAACUCCGAUUGCGAAGGCAGCCUGCUGGACUGUAACUGACGCUGAUGCUCGAAAGUGUGGGUAUCAAACAGGAUUAGAUACCCUGGUAGUCCACACAGUAAACGAUGAAUACUCGCUGUUUGCGAUAUACAGUAAGCGGCCAAGCGAAAGCGUUAAGUAUUCCACCUGGGGAGUACGCCGGCAACGGUGAAACUCAGAGGAAUUGACGGGGGCCCGCACAAGCGGAGGAACAUGUGGUUUAAUUCGAUGAUACGCGAGGAACCUUACCCGGGCUUAAAUUGCAACAGAAUAUAUUGGAAACAGUAUAGCCGUAAGGCUGUUGUGAAGGUGCUGCAUGGUUGUCGUCAGCUCGUGCCGUGAGGUGUCGGCUUAAGUGCCAUAACGAGCGCAACCCUUAUCUUUAGUUACUAACAGGUUAUGCUGAGGACUCUAGAGAGACUGCCGUCGUAAGAUGUGAGGAAGGUGGGGAUGACGUCAAAUCAGCACGGCCCUUACGUCCGGGGCUACACACGUGUUACAAUGGGGGGUACAGAAGGCAGCUACACGGCGACGUGGUGCUAAUCCCGAAAGCCUCUCUCAGUUCGGAUUGGAGUCUGCAACCCGACUCCAUGAAGCUGGAUUCGCUAGUAAUCGCGCAUCAGCCACGGCGCGGUGAAUACGUUCCCGGGCCUUGCACUCACCGCCCGUCAAG